RNAcentral lists this ribosomal RNA (1512 nucleotides) under uncultured Bordetella sp. RNAcentral describes it as "partial 16S-23S ribosomal RNA intergenic spacer". It matches the Rfam family "Bacterial small subunit ribosomal RNA". The record is from RNAcentral. Lineage: Bacteria; Pseudomonadati; Pseudomonadota; Betaproteobacteria; Burkholderiales; Alcaligenaceae.
AGUUCGAUUUCAGCUCAGAUUGAACGCUCGGCGGGAUGCUUUACACAUGCAAGUAAGUCGAACGCACGGACUUUUCGGUCUGGUGGCGAGUGGCGGAAAAACGGUGAGUAAUGUAUCGGAACGUGCCUAGUAGCGGGGGAUAACUACGCGAAAGCGGGGCCAAUACCGCACAUUGCCCUUCGGGGGAAAGCGUGGGACCUUCGGGCCUCGCACUAUUAGGAGCGGCCGAUAUCGGAUUAGCUGAAGCAGGGUACCGGCUCACCAAGGCGAUGAUCCGUAGCUGGUUUGAGAGGACGACCAGCCACACUGUGGGACCGAGACACGGCCCAGACUCCCGCCACGGGAGGCAGCAGUGGGGAAUUUUGGACAAUGGGGAAACCCUGAUCCAGCCAUCCCGCGUGUGCGAUGAAGGCCUUCGCUGUAAAGACCAGCGGUAGAAACGGCACUGGAUAAUAUCCCAACCGGAUCCAGACCGGUAUGAACCAGCUACCCGGUUAACUACGUGCCAGCAGCCGCGGUAAUACGUAGGGUGCAAGCGUUAACCGGAAUUACUGGGCGUAAAGGCAGCUGCGGCAGGCGGCUCGGAAAGAAAUCCCAGAGCUUAACUUUGAACCGCAUUUUUAACUACCGAGCUAGAGUGUGUCGAGGGAGGUGGAACCCGCGUAGCAGUGAAAUAGAUAAAAGAGGAACACCGAUGGCGAAGGUAGCCUCCUGGAGCAAAAAAUCAGAUCUGAUGCUCGCGCACGAAAGCGUGGGAGCAAACAAGAUCGAUUUCGGUAGUCCACGCCCUAAACGAUGUCAAUCAUUAGCUGCUGCGGGGCCUUCGGCCUUUAGCGCAGGCAAGGGACAGAAAGCUAACGCGUGAAGUUGACCGCCUGGGGAGCAUGGUCGCAGAUUAAAACUCAAAGGAACGACGGGACCUGCAGCAAGCGGUGGAUGAUGUGAUUAAGCACCUGAUGCAACGAAAACCUUACCUACUCCUGACAUGUCUGGAAUCCCGAAGAGAUUUGGGAGUGCUCGCAAGAGAACCGGAACACAGGUGUCAGCAUGGCUGUCGCUGGCUCGUGUCGUGAGAUGUUGGGUUAAGUCCCAACAGAUGUGCGCAGCAACCUUUGUCAUUAGUUGCUACGAAAGGGCACUCUAAUGAGACUGCCGGUGACAAACCAGAGGAAGGUGACGAUGCCAAGUCCUCAUGGCCCUGUCAGCAGGAUGAACCUUUCCACGUCACACAAUGGUCGGGACAGAGGGUCGCCAACCCGCGAGGGGGAGCCAAUCCCAGAAACCCGACUCGUAGUCCGGUAGAUCGCAGUCUGCAACUCGACUCGCGUGAAGUCGGAAUCGCUAGUAAUCGCGGACUUCCAGCAUGUUUGGUGGAAUUACGUCCCCGGGUCUUGUACACACCGCCCGGGUCCACCACAUGGAGUGGUUUUACCAGAAGCAGUUAGCUCAACCGUAAGGAGUGGCGAUUACCACGGUAGGAUUCAUGACUGGGGUGAAGUCGUAACAAGGUAA